This 497-nucleotide ribosomal RNA is filed under the name uncultured bacterium. RNAcentral's name for it is "partial 16S ribosomal RNA". It matches the Rfam family "Bacterial small subunit ribosomal RNA", at positions 28 to 507 of the family's 1533-position model. The record is from RNAcentral.
GAUGAACGCUGGCGGCGUGCCUAAUACAUGCAAGUCGAGCGAACAGACGAGGAGCUUGCUCCUCUGAUGUUAGCGGCGGACGGGUGAGUAACACGUGGAUAACCUACCUAUAAGACUGGGAUAACUUCGGGAAACCGGAGCUAAUACCGGAUAACAUGUUGAACCGCAUGGUUCAACAGUGAAAGACGGUCUUGCUGUCACUUAUAGAUGGAUCCGCGCCGCAUUAGCUAGUUGGUAAGGUAACGGCUUACCAAGGCAACGAUGCGUAGCCGACCUGAGAGGGUGAUCGGCCCCACUGGAACUGAGACACGGUCCAGACUCCUACGGGAGGCAGCAGUAGGGAAUCUUCCGCAAUGGGCGAAAGCCUGACGGAGCAACGCCGCGUGAGUGAAGAAGGUCUUCGGAUCGUAAAACUCUGUUAUUAGGGAAGAACAAAUGUGUAAGUAACUAUGCACGUCUUGACGGUACCUAAUCAGAAAGCCACGGCUAACUACGUG